UCCUUGAAAACACAUGCAGAUGGAGGGUAGGAACUGGCAAAAACAGCCUCUGAAUGUGGGCUGGAGACCUCAACAGACUUUUCCAAACCCAGCCUCCGAAGAGCUGAAUAAACAUUUUUGACAGAAGGCAGCAAAACUUCCCAGAGCUCAUGGUCGUCACCCCCCAAGAUCUCAUUUCCUACAGUAAUUCCUACAAUUUUAGUUCCAGGAAGGAAUGGCUGCACAUUUUCUUUGAUCCAACUGAUCGCGCG
RNAcentral lists this unclassified non-coding RNA (251 nucleotides) under Hevea brasiliensis (rubber tree). The record is from RNAcentral. Lineage: Eukaryota; Viridiplantae; Streptophyta; Magnoliopsida; Malpighiales; Euphorbiaceae.